UACGUAGGGUGCAAGCGUUGUCCGGAAUUAUUGGGCGUAAAGAGCUCGUAGGCGGUUUGUCGCGUCGAAUGUGAAAACCCGGGGCUCAACCCCGGGCCUGCAUUCGAUACGGGCAGACUAGAGUUCGGUAGGGGAGUCUGGAAUUCCUGGUGUAGCGGUGAAAUGCGCAGAUAUCAGGAGGAACACCGGUGGCGAAGGAGGGACUCUGGGCUGAUACUGACGCUGAGGAGCGAAAGCGUGGGGAGCAAACAGG
This 253-nucleotide ribosomal RNA is filed under the name uncultured bacterium. RNAcentral's name for it is "partial 16S ribosomal RNA". It matches the Rfam family "Bacterial small subunit ribosomal RNA", at positions 524 to 776 of the family's 1533-position model. The record is from RNAcentral.